Molecule: non-coding RNA, 85 nt
Organism: Clavulina sp. PMI_390
Lineage: Eukaryota; Fungi; Basidiomycota; Agaricomycetes; Cantharellales; Hydnaceae
Source: the annotation of a GenBank genome assembly
GAUCCCCUGGCGCAAUUGGCUAGCGCGUCUGAUUCCAAAAAAGGAAAUUAUCAGGAGGCUGUGUGUUCAAGUCACACGGGGGUCA